GUCUACUGCCAUGCCACCCUGAACAAGCCCGAUCCCGUCUGAUCUCAGAAGUUAAGCAGGAUCAGGCCUGGUUAGUACUUGGAUAGGAGACCACCUAGGAAGACCAGGUGCUAUAGGUG
This 119-nucleotide ribosomal RNA is filed under the name Pteropus alecto (black flying fox). Lineage: Eukaryota; Metazoa; Chordata; Mammalia; Chiroptera; Pteropodidae. The record is from RNAcentral.